UACGUAGGGGGCUAGCGUUGUCCGGAAUCAUUGGGCGUAAAGCGCGUGUAGGCGGUCCGGUAAGUCCGCUGUGAAAGUCGGGGGCUCAACCCUCGGAUGCCGGUGGAUACUGUCGGGCUCGAGUACGGAAGAGGCGAGUGGAAUUCCUGGUGUAGCGGUGAAAUGCGCAGAUAUCAGGAGGAACACCGAUUGCGAAGGCAGCUCGCUGGGACGUUACUGACGCUGAGACGCGAAAGCGUGGGGAGCAAACAGG
This 253-nucleotide ribosomal RNA is filed under the name uncultured bacterium. RNAcentral's name for it is "partial 16S ribosomal RNA". It matches the Rfam family "Bacterial small subunit ribosomal RNA", at positions 524 to 776 of the family's 1533-position model. The record is from RNAcentral.